CCUACGGGAGGCAGCAGUGAGGAAUAUUGGUCAAUGGACGCAAGUCUGAACCAGCCAUGCCGCGUGCAGGAAGACGGCUCUAUGAGUUGUAAACUGCUUUUGUACGAGGGUAAACGCAGAUACGCGUAUCUGUCUGAAAGUAUCGUACGAAUAAGGAUCGGCUAACUCCGUGCCAGCAGCCGCGGUAAUACGGAGGAUUCAAGCGUUAUCCGGAUUUAUUGGGUUUAAAGGGUGCGUAGGCGGUCGGAUAAGUUAGAGGUGAAAUCCCGAGGCUCAACUUCGGAAUUGCCUUUGAUACUGUUCGGCGAGAGAGUAGUUGCGGUAGGCGGAAUGUAUGGUGUAGCGGUGAAAUGCUUAGAGAUCAUACAGAACACCGAUUGCGAAGGCAGCUUACCAAGCUACUUCUGACGUUGAGGCACGAAAGCGUGGGGAGCAAACAGGAUUAGAUACCCGAGUAGUC
This 460-nucleotide ribosomal RNA is filed under the name uncultured bacterium. RNAcentral's name for it is "partial 16S ribosomal RNA". It matches the Rfam family "Bacterial small subunit ribosomal RNA", at positions 338 to 795 of the family's 1533-position model. The record is from RNAcentral.